CCUACGGGUGGCAGCAGUGGGGAAUAUUGCACAAUGGGGGGAACCCUGAUGCAGCGACGCCGCGUGAGCGAUGAAGUAUUUCGGUAUUUAAAGCUCUAUCAACAGGGAAGAAAAUGACGGUACCUGACUAAGAAGCCCCGGCUAACUACGUGCCGGCAGCCGCAGUAAUACGUAGGGAGCAAGCGUUAUCCGGAUUUACUGGGUGUAAAGGGAGCGUAGACGGCAGUGCAGGUCUGAAGUGAAAGGUAAGGGCUCAACCUUUGGACUGCUUUGGAAACUGGGCGGCUGGAGUGUCGUAGAGGAAAGGGGAAUUCGUGGUGUAGCGGUGAAAUGCGUAGAUAUUAGGAGGAACACCAGUGGCGAAGGAGGCUUGCUGGACGAUGACUGACGUUGAGGCUCGAAAGCGUGGGGAGCAAACAGGAUUAGAUACCCGAGUAGUC
RNAcentral lists this ribosomal RNA (440 nucleotides) under uncultured bacterium. Its description in RNAcentral is "partial 16S ribosomal RNA". It matches the Rfam family "Bacterial small subunit ribosomal RNA", at positions 338 to 795 of the family's 1533-position model. The record is from RNAcentral.